CCUACGGGGGACAGCAGUGGGGGAUAUUGCACAAUGGGGGGAACCCUGAUGCAGCGACGCCGCGUGGGUGAAGGAGUGCUUCGGCAUGUAAAGCCCUAUCGGCAGGGAAGAAGCAAGACGGUACCUGACUAAGAAGCCCCGGCUAACUACGUGCCAGCAGCCGCGGUAAUACGUAGGGGGCGAGCGUUAUCCGGAUUCACUGGGUGUAAAGGGAGCGUAGACGGCCAAGCAAGCCAGGGGUGAAAGCCCGGGGCCCAACCCCGGGACUGCCCUUGGAACUGCAUGGCUGGAGUGCGGGAGGGGCAGGCGGAAUUCCUAGUGUAGCGGUGAAAUGCGUAGAUAUUAGGAGGAACACCGGUGGCGAAGGCGGCCUGCUGGACUGUGACUGACGUUGAGGCCCGAAGGCGUGGGGAGCAAACAGGAUUAGAUACCCGUGUAGUC
RNAcentral lists this ribosomal RNA (441 nucleotides) under uncultured bacterium. Its description in RNAcentral is "partial 16S ribosomal RNA". It matches the Rfam family "Bacterial small subunit ribosomal RNA", at positions 338 to 795 of the family's 1533-position model. The record is from RNAcentral.